RNAcentral lists this long non-coding RNA (6323 nucleotides) under Sus scrofa (pig). Its description in RNAcentral is "lncRNA (ENSSSCG00065053408.1)". The record is from RNAcentral. Lineage: Eukaryota; Metazoa; Chordata; Mammalia; Artiodactyla; Suidae.
GCCACACCCAUGGCAUAUGGAAGUUCCCAGGCUAGGGGUCCAACUGGGGCUGCAGCUGCUGGCCUACACCACAGCCACAGCCACAAGCUUCCUGACUUUAUCAGAAACGGCAGUGGGGUGGGGGGAGUGAGGGAGGGAACAGGAUGAAGGAUGCUCUAGGGGGAGGGGACCUGGCUACAUGCCUUGGCCCUUUGAAGGCCAUCGCAGGGUGGGAGGGAGGACUUCCUUUCUAGCUAUAGAACCUGAGCAGAUGGGCAGCCGUUCCUGCAGACAGAUUCCAGUUCCAGUCAAGGAAGAACUUUCUAGCGCACAGAGGCUUUGGCUGGGCAGCCGCACGGGCUGGUGUGAGCAAGACAGACCAACGGGCCCAAAAUCUGGGUCCAGACUGGACAGCCUCAGGCAAGCCCUUCAGUCUGAGUUCGCGGAGGAAGCCCCCUUGGAGAGGCUUAACCCUAACCCUAACCCUAACCCUAACCCUAACCCUAACCCCGGAGUGGGCAUCAGGGGGGCAGCUGAGGGGACAGUAAGACAAGGGACCAGGCUUGGGGGAGUUGGAGGGGACCCCUCACGGAGCAGGAGCCUUGAAGCCACCAAUAACAAUGCUACUUCUCCAAGUGGGGACACUGAAGCAGGGCUCCCCCAGCAGUGAGGACUGGCACUGAGGCUGGCAGAGACCACACUCAGGGUCUCUGGAAGCGACAAGGACAGGGCAGACGGGCCCCUGCGGAGGGACAAAGCCUAAGAUCUCUGGGGAGAGGGUGCAGAGAGGAGGCAACCUUCUCGCAACCCUGGGCAAUCCACCGACAGCGGAGGGUGCGGCCAAGGGGAAAGCCACCUGGCUGGCCCACCUUCCUCACUCUGUGCCCGUUCGUCCACCAAGUGUCCAUCCCUGGGGCAAGAGGAGCUCAGAAGAUCAACCUCUAUCCUCAAAGAGCUCCCAUGCCACCUGCCAGUCACCAACAACCCCCUCUUACAAAUGGAGAAGCCAAGGCCAGGAGAGGAGGCUUUGCCAAGGUCCCUAGCCAGAGAGAGGCAGAGCCAGGUGCCAGCUAGCCUUCGGUUCCCUGGUCCUUCAUUAGUGGCAUUCCUGGAUGGCUGAAGCUGGGGCGGGGCGGGAAGAAGAAGGAAAGGAAAAAGGAAGGAAAGAAAUUGGCCCUGCUGGUGGCCCUGCCCCAGGCAGGCUCUCCCAGGACACCUCCCAGCAUCCUCGACCGAGCACAGAGCACACAGCGCCCUUGUGCCAGCAGCUCUGGCACGACCUCUCACUGGAAGCUCCUUCAGGGCUGGGCCCCCCCACCGCAGCCCCAUCCCAUUCUCCAGCCCCGUACGGUAGGGGGUUCCUACACAGCGUGGAUUAUUCAUGAAAACUAGCAUGUGCCAAGGCCUAUCCCCCAGGAUCUUUUUUAUCCCCCCAGCGCAGCCUGUGAGGGGUGGGCGGGCAGUGUGAGCCACACUGUCGUACAGGGGAGGAAACCGAGGCUCCGAGAGGCCCAGCCUCUCCCCUCGGUCGGAGAAACGGAGACUCCAGCAAACAGGUAUUAAGUGUCUAUAAUGUGCAGAGCCCUGAUCUGGUAGCUCCCAGAGGGCCUGCUCCUCACAGGGCAGCGAUCCAAGCACCUUGCACACAUGCUGUCCCCUUCGCCACCACCCUAGGCAGCUAUUAUCGUGUCCCCAUUUUCUAGACGCGGAUCUGGAUGCACAGAGAAUUCAGGUAACUUGAUUCGAGCCUGAUUCCAUCCCAGGCUCUGGCCCCAGUCCACACCUUAAACCACCUUCUCCCCACAAUCAGCCUCCUGGUGAGGGAGCAAGCGGGACUUGUACCUGGGCCGGUGGCUGUGGCCUGUGCCCUUUCGGCACAUUCACUGAGGGGACGCUCGUGGAUGCCAGGAUGCCAGGAGGUGUGCAUGGCUCCGAAGUGACUCAGGCCAAAGCGGGGGGGGCGGGGGGAAGAAGAUGGGGGGAGGGGAUAGAGGGGGGAGGGGGAGGGGAAAAGGACAAAGGGAAGCAGGGGUGGGGUGGGGGAAGAAGAAUGUGAGGAGGGGGCCCACGGCCUCCCAGGAGCCUGGCAGGCCACAUUCCAGUCCAGCUGGGGCCAAGGCCCCAGCCCCUUCUGUGCCAGGGAAGAUCUGCCCGGUCCCCUUGCUGCUGGAACAUCAAAGCUGCUUCCCAGCCAGCCCCAAGGUAGCAUCCUUUGAGGUUUGGCAGAGAUGGGGCCAUAUUUCAGGCUGAUACAAAGCAGGCUGCACCCACUCCCUCCUGCCCGAGAUCCCCAUCUGGGUUGUCUACUUAAUACCCCAUUACGGGAGAAAAUAUACAGUCAGCUCCCGCUGGCCUCAGCUGCCCGUCCCUCCCUCCUCCCUCGGCAAAGAUCAAAGCUGUGCUAGAUUCCCGCCCAGAAACUCCGUAACCAGAACACAGACUGGGGCAGGGGCAGGGAGAGCCCAGUGCAGUGGCGAAGUGGGGAGGCUGGGCAGGUGCAGAUGAGGCCAGGUGUCCAGGUGGGUGCUGACGUGGCUGGCUCAGGAGAGAGCCCUGGUCUUGGGGAGGUGGCGGGGUGUCACAUCUCACCCUGGGUCCUGGAUGCCCACCUGUCCAGCCGGGCCCUCCCAACUCAACUUCACCUUGGCUCACAAAGCCCGCUGCCUUCAUGUCCACAAGGCUCUCUGAGCUCUUCCCUGCCCCCGCUGCAAGCGUUGCUACAGGCCAGUCUGUAUCUAUUGUAAUCACACCAUGGCUCGGGCCUGCCACCUGUGCCAGGUGAGCACUCCAAUGAACAUUUAAGUCUCCUAGCAAUGCCACGAGGUGGGGAGAAUCACUUCUUCUUACAGCUGGGGGACACUGAGGCCCAGGCCUUAGGUGCCGUGCCCAGGGAGGCAAGCAGCUGCAGGUCUGGGCUGCCCAGUGUCCACUCCGGCGCCACACUGAGGCACAGGACUUCCGCCGAGGAAAACCCUCACUUCUGGGAUGAGCAGCAGGUGUCCGUCUCCCCAAGGAAGCUGACAGCCACAUCCUCUACAGCAGGGGCGGUCACUGGACCCUCGCCCUGGCUGAGCACUGGAGUCCCCAGCAUCUCAAGCUCAUCUGGCCCUAACUUCUAGCAGCAGCCCCAUGCCCUAGGGUUUGUCCAUGGCUUGUACCCUUUCCAAACCAAGGAAGUAAGUUCAGAGAGGCUCAGAGACCCACAGAAGAUACAGAGCCCAUGGGGAGCUCCCAGCACACAAUAAACCCUCUCCCUGGUCACCUGGUGGGAAGGGGGGCGGGGCUUUAACUGCACACCUCUGGGUCCCGCCCACCCCACUAACCUGAAACACAACCAGAGCACAUGUCAGCCCCACUGCACCGCCGCAGCGCCGUCUCCUGGACCCUCAGGCAUGGGGUGCAAGUCAGUUAAUGAGCUGGGUCCCUUUCCUAAUUCCCACUAGGAAGUGACCAACCCCCUCCUCCUCGUGUGGGCCCUCCUCUCCCCAGACUGUCCCUCCCUUGUCUCCCUGCCUCCUUCUCAAUAAACGACCCUAUCACCUACCUGGGGCCCCCCACCCACCCCCUCAACCCACAGCAUUCUGCCUGGUCUUCCUCAUGGCCCCUUCCCAGACACCCUCCUCCGCUCCCCGGCCGCCCCAUCAGUCUGUCCACAAUACAUCAGAGCAAGCCUCACCCAACCUCCUGCGGAGACGGAACUCCCUGCCCUGGACGGGUACCCGACCUGCCCUUGGGUCCCCAUCGUUAUUUCCCCAUAGCUGCUUAACUGACAGCUAUGGGAUGAAUGGAGAGGUGAAGCCCUGCUCCUUGGCGCAUGUUGCUCCAGAACUGUAUCUUUGUCCUGUUCCCCCAGCCAUCCUUCUAGGCCCUGGUCUCCCCAUUCUCUAGCCUCUGUCCCUCUGGCCUGACAAAGUCCCUGGGCCAAGUGUCAUCCCUACUGUGUCGUCUGCCUCCCCACGGCUGGAGCUGCCUGAGGACCGGACGGUGUCUGCCCUUCGUCUCCUCCCCACGUCCAUCCCCGCACGGGGCCUCAGGGCCACUCGAGAGCCGGAAGGCAGGAAGAGCCUCUCAGGAGGGACACCAAUCCCAUCAGGAAGCAAACGCAGAGGCAGGGGUGUCCCUGGGGGCUCAGAGACCUUGUCCCCUCCCAUCUACUGAUGGCUGACCCUGGCUGAUCCCGACCCGUAUCUCCCUCCCCACGGGCAACGGAGCAGCAAGCACAGGGCGAACCAAGCAAUUUCCCAGAGCUAGUGGGGCUCGGCAAGCCAAUGUGAACAAGGAACAAACCUCCGGCCUCUGCGAGGGGGCACGGCCAGCAGUGUGAGCACAGUGGCUAAUGUGCUGCCCCCCGCCCCCCCCCCGCAGCCCCCCACCUCGAGCAGAGAGCAGGGCUGGCCAGGAGAUGCCGCGCUCGGCUGCCAAUUCCCCGCUCAGCAGAAAGCCUCCAUUUUGCAGGGAGAAAUUAAUGAAAGGGAGAAGCCUGGGAAAUUACGAGUUGCCACCUGCAAUUUCUCCUUCCAAGGAAAGUGGCGCGAUGGCUGAUUAAAGCAGCAGCCGCCCCGCCAGGCUGGGCCAGCAGCUGAGGACCCUGUCUGCCGGCUAGGAGGCAGGUGGGAAGCACUGAGGCCGGGGCUGCUAGGGGACCCCAAGCUUAAACAGCCCCUCCCGGGACCCUCGGAACUGAGGAAACCUCCAGUGGAGAGAAACUGCCUUUUAUCAGCAGGCAGGCGGUGGGCCUCUGUGGUGACCCAUGGGGCCCCAUGGAUUAAGAGCCCCCUAGCCCAUUCCCCCACGCUCAGGUGCCGGGGUCCUCGCAUCUGACCAGUGGCACGGAACUGUCAAAUCCUGGCCGCCCUCCCUCCUGGUCUGGUCACCACCCCAAGCUUCUCCUUCCAUAGACAAGCCAAGUUCCCUGAUCCUGGCCUGCUUUCCAUAUCCAGGCCUGGGGCAGUGGCCAGCUGGGAAGGGUGACUUUGGAGCCGCUGCUCUUCCCACUGCCCCACCUAAUCUGUCAGGAGCCAGACCCUUCUUCCUCCCUUCUAAGAGUUCACAGAUGUCUAGCUCCCCUCAGAUGCCAGCCCUCAUCAGAAUAUGAAUUCAGACUAAAGUGUGAAUGACUGACAUCAGCUUCAUCUCUCCUCCUCUGGCCUUUCCACAUUCUGAGGCACAGAGCUUGACUUCCUCACUGUGGGGAUAGUGAUUUGCAUGGGGGAAGACCCCCUGGGGUGAACAUCUGGCAGCUCCAGCUCUUAUAACAAGCAUCACACACAACAGAAUGCAACCACCCCAGAGGAAGACCAGGCCUCCUGUGCCAGCGUCUCCUCUUUGGCCGUGCACAUUAGCGUAAGCCCCACGACCUCUCUGAGCCUCGUCUCCGCUCGUUCUCCUCUCCCCAACUGUGUGACUCCAGCCAAGUCCCUCAGCCUCUCUGGGCUCCAGCUCUGAGAGGCGAGAGGCAGACUGCUGUGGUAUCCAUCGGAAGGCAAACUUGGAGGCACCGCUAUCUCCCAGCUCCACGGCCGUGGCCGUAUAUUAUUAUAAUGGCCUUGGCCAAUAGGGGCGCAGGCUAUUAGAAUGAGUUAAGACCAGAUUAAUCUGCUUAAAAAAAUAUGCCUGGUUUUUACUCUGUGCAUUCCCUCCUAACAACUCAGGCUCCUUCCAGGCCAUUAUCUCGUUUUAUCGUUAAUUCAAUUCCAUAAACAUGUAUUAAGUGUCUAUUAUGUGCAGAGCCCUGGUCUGGUAGCUGGGGUGGGGUGAGGGGGCUAUGGUGGGGGCGGCCCCAGUCCCCAAGGUGCCUGUCGUCAGACAGGGGAUGCACCUGACCCUCGGCUCUCGCCACUGGGACAGGAAGUGAGUGAGCCAGAGCUCAACGCGGGGACAUGCUCACCAGCCUGGUGGAUCUGGGGGUGCUUCCUGGGGAGGGUGCUCUGGACACUGGGACUGGAGACAGUAACGUGUGACAUGGACUGAAGGCCUUCUCUGUGCCAGAUACUGUGCUCAGCACUUUACACACAGGGACUCUACGGGGGGGGGGGCACUAAUGUCACCCAUUUCACAGAUGAAGAAACUGAGGUUCAGAGAGGUGAUCUGUUGGAGGUCCCCAAGCCGGUAAGGGCUAAGCCAUGAAGUCUAAGCACAGAGUCUGGGCUUCACACUCCAUGCUGGAUCCCCAGGGCCCAGAAGGGGGUGCCUGGUACAGGGAGGGCAGGCACAUGGCAUCCGUGCAUGAAGGAAGGAGGGAGGGGAGGGAUGAGCACUGAGCCCCAGCAAGGGGCCAAAGGAGCCUUGAAGGAUGGUUGGAUCUGGGUGAGCAGAGAUGAGGUGGGGGCUGGGGGAGGGCUGCC